UUUGAUUAUCAAUAAAUUGAAAACGAAAUAUUAAGUGUAGUAUUUGUUCUUAUCAGUAUAAUAUCUGAUAUUAACUCUAUUUUUGAGGGGAGAGGUUCACCGAGGUAGCUUGCUAUCGCGAUUCGAAACAUUCAAGCAUCCUAUGGUGUUGUUGCACUACUGUCUUGGCUUGGCGCACCUCAA
Molecule: small nuclear RNA, 183 nt
Filed under: Solanum tuberosum (potato)
Lineage: Eukaryota; Viridiplantae; Streptophyta; Magnoliopsida; Solanales; Solanaceae
Description: snRNA U2
Rfam family: U2 spliceosomal RNA
About the family: U2 is a small nuclear RNA (snRNA) component of the spliceosome (involved in pre-mRNA splicing).
Source: Rfam by way of RNAcentral